Molecule: small RNA, 356 nt
Filed under: Arabidopsis thaliana (thale cress)
Lineage: Eukaryota; Viridiplantae; Streptophyta; Magnoliopsida; Brassicales; Brassicaceae
Description: ATSL257670
Source: RNAcentral
AGUUAAAGAAUCUGAUAUCUAUUUGGAAGCUCCAAUAGUUAGACAAGGGUUUAUUAAUGCUUCUACAUCAAGAGGUUUGGGGUUUGAGUCUCAGCUACUGCGAUUUAUUAGCAUAUUUGCAUAUUAAUGAAAGCAAAUGUGCAUGAGAUCUACAACGAUGUAUAAUUAUAGCUGUUUGCCAAAAUUCUAUGCAGAGAAGAUAUUAAAAGGUGUCCAUCAAACGUAUGGAGAAGGAGAAAAAGUAUCAUCUGUCGUGGAUCUAAUAAAGGUCGGAAGAAAUUAUCCGUGGUAGAAUCGUUUAUGUAACAAUUUUCAUAAUUUGUAAUAAAUAAUAAAUCUAGACGGCAAAAAAAAGA